CAAUAGCGUAUAUUAAGGUUGUUGCGGUUAAAAAGCUCGUAGUUGGAUUUCUGCCGAGGACGACCGGUCUGCCCACUGGGUGUGUAUCUGGCUCGGCCUGGGCAUCUUCUUGGAGAACGUAUCUGCACUUGACUGUGUGGUGCGGUAUCCAGGACUUUUACUUUGAGGAAAUUAGAGUGUUUCAAGCAGGCACACGCCUUGAAUACAUUAGCAUGGAAUAAUAAGAUAGGACCUCGGUUCUAUUUUGUUGGUUUCUAGAACUGUGGUAAUGAUUAAUAGGGAUAGUUGGGGGCAUUCGUAUUUAACUGUCAGAGGUGAAAUUCUUGGAUUUGUUAAAGACGGACUACUGCGAAGGCAUUUGCCAAGGAUGUUUUCAUUGA
This 380-nucleotide ribosomal RNA is filed under the name uncultured eukaryote. RNAcentral describes it as "partial 18S ribosomal RNA". It matches the Rfam family "Eukaryotic small subunit ribosomal RNA", at positions 592 to 976 of the family's 1831-position model. The record is from RNAcentral.